UCCUGGUUAGCUCAGUCGGUAGAGCGCUCCACUGAAAAUGGAGAGGUCCCUGGUUCGAUUCCAGGACCAUGCGGAA
This 76-nucleotide transfer RNA is filed under the name Ixodes scapularis (black-legged tick). Its description in RNAcentral is "tRNA-Phe". It matches the Rfam family "tRNA". Rfam says of the family: Transfer RNA (tRNA) molecules are approximately 80 nucleotides in length. Their secondary structure includes four short double-helical elements and three loops (D, anti-codon, and T loops). The record is from RNAcentral. Lineage: Eukaryota; Metazoa; Arthropoda; Arachnida; Ixodida; Ixodidae.